This 869-nucleotide long non-coding RNA is filed under the name Homo sapiens (human). Its description in RNAcentral is "HSALNT0370295". The record is from RNAcentral. Lineage: Eukaryota; Metazoa; Chordata; Mammalia; Primates; Hominidae.
AAUUCAAGCCACUGAAAAAAAAUUUAGAAGAGACCUGUGGAACAGUGGACUUCUGGGCUGACCCAAGCACAGACUGUACACAUCAGACAAUUUGGAAAGCACCUGGCAGUCACUGUGGAGAAGGAUCUCUGAUUAGCUUGCUGCCGGUCCACUGAUGAUGCUCACCUGCAGGACUCAGCCCACCCAAUUUCUACCUGGAUCUUGUACUGGGGUGUGGGUGCCCCCCGCAGGAUUGCUUCCCCCAGGGGUCUGUGCUGAGGUACAAGAUCACCAGACUUACCUAGGGCAAAUGAAAGAAGUACAGCCAGGCAGGAUCUGAACUGUAUUGACCAGGGAAGUGAAAGUCAAAACUGUAGAGGUGGUUCCAAGCAUCAAGUUUGGUGAAGGAUGAGGUGAGAUGUCAACAGCAAGAUGCAUCAGCAGAGCAGAAGGAAGAAGGAAGCAGAACCCAAGGCAGCUUGAGGCAAGUUGACCAGAAGAGAGGAUAUGAAAUGGAUGGACGUGUCAGAGGUCCAUUUCUACUUGACGGAGACAAAUCCUCAAGGAGACAUUGUAAUUUCCUUUGAAAUAUUGGAAAGCAGCAAUCAUGUGGACUGUAGAGUAAGACGGGCCAGGAUGGAAUCCCAGUCAGGCUUCUCUGUGACCUAGAGCUCCUGCAGCCCAUUAACCUUCCUUUAAUUUUCUUUAACACUGGGAUAACAACCAGAAAGCCAUAGAGCUAUUGAGAGGAGCUAACACAGGUAAUCUGGCUCUAGGAAGACUCAAGGAUUACUUGUGGAAUUUAAACAAAGUGAACCAGAUCUUAAUCCCAGUGUAUUUUAAUUCCAAGUUUGGUUUGUUUCUCCCUGAUGAGUUACCACCAACCCCAA